UCUGUAGCAAGGUUAACCGUAUAGGGGAGCCGGAGGGAAACCGAGUCUUAAUUGGGCGUUAAGUUGCAGGGUAUAGACCCGAAACCCGGUGAUCUAGCCAUGGGCAGGUUGAAGGUUGGGUAACACUAACUGGAGGACCGAACCGACUAAUGUUGAAAAAUUAGCGGAUGACCUGUGGCUGGGGGUGAAAGGCCAAUCAAACCGGGAGAUAGCUGGUUCUCCCCGAAAGCUAUUUAGGUAGCGCCUCGUGAAUUCAUCUCCGGGGGUAGAGCACUGUUUCGGCUAGGGGGCCAUCCCGGCUUACCAACCCGAUGCAAACUGCGAAUACCGGAGAAUGUUAUCACGGGAGACACACGGCGGGUGCUAACGUCCGUCGUGAAGAGGGAAACAACCCAGACCGCCAGCUAAGGUCCCAAAGUCAUGGUUAAGUGGGAAACGAUGUGGGAAGGCCCAGACAGCCAGGAUGUUGGCUUAGAAGCAGCCAUCAUUUAAAGAAAGCGUAAUAGCUCACUGGUCGAGUCGGCCUGCGCGGAAGAUGUAACGGGGCUAAACCAUGCACCGAAGCUGCGGCAGCGAACGUAUCACCCAAGACAACUUUACGGAGUUGACGAUUGACGGAGCGAAGCGACGUCAAAGCGUUCAUUAAAGUCGAGUUGGCUUAGGGAUACGUUCGUUGGGUAGGGGAGCGUUCUGUAAGCCUGUGAAGGUGUGUCGUGAGGCAUGCUGGAGGUAUCAGAAGUGCGAAUGCUGACAUAAGUAACGAUAAAGCGGGUGAAAAGCCCGCUCGCCGGAAGACCAAGGGUUCCUGUCCAACGUUAAUCGGGGCAGGGUGAGUCGACCCCUAAGGCGAGGCCGAAAGGCGUAGUCGAUGGGAAACGGGUUAAUAUUCCCGUACUUGGUGUUACUGCGAAGGGGGGACGGAGAAGGCUAUGUUGGCCGGGCGACGGUUGUCCCGGUUUAAGCGUGUAGGUGUGUGUUCCAGGUAAAUCCGGUU
RNAcentral lists this ribosomal RNA (994 nucleotides) under Salmonella enterica. Its description in RNAcentral is "partial 23S ribosomal RNA". It matches the Rfam family "Bacterial large subunit ribosomal RNA", at positions 634 to 1547 of the family's 2925-position model. Lineage: Bacteria; Pseudomonadati; Pseudomonadota; Gammaproteobacteria; Enterobacterales; Enterobacteriaceae. The record is from RNAcentral.